AUUGAACGCUGGCGGCAUGCUUUACACAUGCAAGUCGAACGAGUGGCGAACGGGUGAGUAACGCAUCGGAACGUGCCGAGUAAUGGGGGAUAACUGUCCGAAAGGACAGCUAAUACCGCAUAUUAUUCGAGCGGCCGAUGUCUGAUUAGCUGGUUGGCGGGGUAAAGGCCCACCAAGGCGACGAUCCGUAGCGGGUCUGAGAGGAUGAUCCGGCAAAACGGGACUGAGAAACGGGUCAGACGCCUACGGGAGGCAGCAGUUGGGAAAUUUUGCAAAUUGGGGGAAGCCCGAACCAGCCAUGCCGCGUGUCAGAAGAAGGCCUUCGGGUUGGAAAGCUCUGUUAAUCGGGACGCGGUACCGGAAGAGAAAGCCACGGCUAACUACGUGCCAGCCGCCGCGGUAAUUC
This 406-nucleotide ribosomal RNA is filed under the name uncultured bacterium. RNAcentral describes it as "partial 16S ribosomal RNA". It matches the Rfam family "Bacterial small subunit ribosomal RNA", at positions 30 to 526 of the family's 1533-position model. The record is from RNAcentral.